RNAcentral lists this long non-coding RNA (5757 nucleotides) under Sus scrofa (pig). Its description in RNAcentral is "lncRNA (ENSSSCG00005023519.1)". The record is from RNAcentral. Lineage: Eukaryota; Metazoa; Chordata; Mammalia; Artiodactyla; Suidae.
UUUUUUUUUUUUUUUUAAAAAAACCUUCAUGAUUUCACUAAACUUUGACUGGACUUUAAAUGACUUCGUAUAUAUAGACCAACAUUCAUACUGUUUGGUCCAGUUUUUCACCAGAGAUGAGUUUCUUAUGUGGUUAAUAUAACUUUGGAUUUAGAAAGUGUCGUGUUAGAACCAUACUGAUUAGCUUUACCAAAGUAAAGAAUGAAAUAUAAAUAGUACCUGGGCAUCUUCAAAAGUCAGUCAUGAAUUAAAUUAGUCAUAAAAAAAAUUUCUCUAAACAAGCUUCCUUUAGGUUUUUAGUAUCAGAUAUCUCCUAAGAUAGCAGGUGGGUAAGAAAUCUGUCUGGCAGUGUUUUUCUCCUUCACCAAGGGGGAAUGGAUAAAUCACCUUAGGGGUGUAUCUUUCUUAAACACCAAAUGAUGUGGAAGUGUGUUUUUUUUGUUUGGAGACAAUGCUUCAAAAAUUCCCACCUCUUAAUUUUUACUUCUUUUUCUCAACUCAUCCAUCCUCUGUCUUUCCAGAUUGCUUUCCUAAUAUUCCAACCCUUUUGACCCCAUUGUGACUUUUAAUCCAUUGUGGGUUUUUUUGUUUUUUUCUUUUUAGGGCCACACCCACGGUAUAUGGAAGUUCCUAGGCUAGGGGUCCAAUCUGCUAUAGCUGCCAGCCUGCACCACAGCCGCAGCCACAGCAAGGCGGGAUCUGAGCUGCAUCUGCAACCUACACCACAGCUCACGUCAAUGCCAGAUCCCUGACCCAUUGAGCAAGGCCAGGGAUUGACUCCACAACCUCAUGGAUACUAGUCAGAUUUGUUUCCGCUGAGCCAUGAUGGGAACUCCCUCAGUCCAUUGAUUUAACUUUCUAUAUCAUACUUGGCAGAACCACAGCCAGAUUAAAUCUAAUUCAUCUGUUCAUUGUGACUGGUGAGUCUGAAGUUUACUGGAGAAAAAUAAUCUCAAUGACUGUUCUUGCUCUAAAAAAUAAAUGAUUGCAAACCUUGUAUCUUGUCUAGACGCACAAUUCUGCCACACAGAGAAUAGGUCCUUGUCAUUUGCCCUCCAUUCACCACCUCUCUCCUCGAUUACCUAAUGAAUGACCUGCUUCCUACCUUGCAGUAGAACCUGAGGCAAUCAAAAGAGAGUAAGCAUUCCCAUCUUACACACUCACCUUCCAGCAUCCCAACUAACUGCAUUUAUCUAAGACUAGUAGCUCUGCUACUCAUUAGGGCCCAUCCUCUUGCUCCAGUAGUUAGUUCUUCCCCUUUGACAUCAUCCAUUUUGGGGGUGGGAGGCAAAAUGUGCAGUGGCUUGAUGUGAGAUCUCAGUUUACAGACCAGGGACUGCAUUUGGCUACAGUGGUGAAAACACUUCAUGCUCAGUGCUAGACCACCAGGGGACCCCCUAUUGGAUCAGUCUUUUUCCCAUUUCAAAAAUGUCAUGACUCUGUUUCCCCUGCCAGUUCCUGCCAUUUUAUUUUUUCAUUCAUUUUGUAGUAAAACUCAAAAGUUUUAUAUGGUUUCUAAUGAUCACUUUCCAUUUUUUCUUAAACCUUUCUUGAUCAGGCUUUUACCCCUGCUGUUCCAUAGGAAUGUUGCUAGUGAUUUCAUGUUGCUAAAUCAUGUGGUCACCUUUUUUUUCCACUAUAAAAGAUCAAGGCUUAUUUCUUGUUCAUGCCGCAUGUCCAUCAUGGUUGUGUGGUGGUUUCGUCUAUGUUAGUCUCACAACCCAAACUAAUGGAAGCUCCACCAUGUGAAACUUCCACUCUAGCUCAAGACAGGCAGUGAACAUAGUAAAUAAGUAAUUCACAUGUUAGGAAAUGAGAGCCUUGUAUUAAAAAAGGGUGGAAUUGAGUAAGGAGGGUUAGGAAUGCUAGAGCAAUGUGUGUGUAUGCAGAUGACUGAGAAAUUGUGGUUUAAGCAAACUCGAAUGAGGUGGGACAGCUUUCUAAUAUUUCACGUACAACAGCUUGAGUAAGGGCCUCAAGGUGGGAUUGUGAAUGGCCUGUUCUAACAGUAAGGGAGGCCAGGGCCAAGAGUGGAGUGAUGGGGGAAGAUGGGGUCGUAGGAGAAGAGGUCAGGUGGUUAAAUGAUCGUCUGAGGUCCUUUUGGCAUUUACUCUGAAUGAAGUAGUCUUGUGUUGUUGUUUUUUUCUUUUUUUGUCUUUUUCCUAUUUCUUGGGCCGCUCCUGCGGCGUAUGGAGGUUCCCAGGCUAGGGGUCGAAUCGGAGCUGUAGCCACCGGCCUACACCAGAACCACAGCAACGCGGGAUCCGAGCCGCGUCUGCAACCUUCACCACAGCUCACGGCAACGCCGGAUCGUUAACCCACUGAGCAAGGGCAGGGACCGAACCCGCAACCUCAUGGUUCCUAGUCGGAUUCGUUAACCACUGCGCCACGAUGGGAACUUCGUCUUGUGUUGUUUUUAGGUAGAGGAGUAUCAUGACGUGAUGCACUCUGGCUGAAAAUGAUUGUUAUACCCACAUUUAGUCCAUUAGGAAAUCUUACUGGCUUGACUUACAUUCUGCCUGUUCAUACUCUAGUUGGAGCUACCAACAUCUUUCACCUGGAUUUCCCAAGUUCUUUCCUAAUUAACGAACAUGCUUUCACAUUGUCUGCCAUCUAUUUAAUAUAACAGGAAUUCCCACUGUGGCAUAGUGGGUUAAGGAUCCAGUAUUGUCAGUGCAGCAGCUUGGGUCCCCGCUGUGGCACAGGCUUGAUCCCUGGCCUGGGAACUUCCAUAUGCUGCAGAUGCAUCCAAAAAAAAAUUUUUUUUUUAAAUAUGACAGCUAGAGUGAUCCUUUAAAAAUGGAAAUCAGAUAAUGUCACAACUCAUCUCAAAUCCUUCCCUCCUCAACAGGGGCUUUUCAUUUCAUUCAGAGUAAGAACCCAUGGAAAGGUCUGUAAAGCCCUACAUGAUCUGCCCUUCUCUCCUUAGCUCUCUGAGUUGGUGCUGCUCUCCUUUGCUCACUUCGCUUUAGCCACACUGUACAGUGGACUUUUUACAGAUUUUUUUUCUUUUUAGGACCACACCUGUGGCAUAUGGAAGUCCCCAGCCUGGGGGUUACAUUGGAGCUGCAACUGCCAGCCUAUGCCACAGCCAUGGCAAUGCCAGAUCUGAGCCCUGUCUUUGACCUGUAUACCAUAGCUCAUGGCAACACCGGAUCCUUAACUCACUGAGCAAGGUCAGGAAUCCCGAACCCAUGAUUCUAGUCGGUUUCUAGAAUCCUCAUGGAUACUAGUUGGUUUCUUAACAUGCUGAGCCACAAUGGGAACUCCAAGAGAUUAUUUUUCAAGGUCAGACUCCUUUACCUUAGUGUUUGCAUCAGCUAAUUCUCUAGAUAUUUCUUAAAAGCCUGGUUUGUUUGUUUUAAAAACAGAUUAGGGUUUUCAAAGUAGAAAGGAAGCUGAUAAAUUUUCAGGAGAGUUAAAAUUGAGGCUAGAACUUCUCUAUUAGAUGGUAUCAUCAAUUCCCUUGGCUUUACCAACCAUCUAGAUUCCAGUCCAAAACUUUUCCUCUCUCCUCAAGCAAGCUGUGUGUCUGGCCAAGAGGCCAUGGAAGCCUGAUACGGAAUCUAUACCCCUGGUUUCGUCUAAUUUGGAUAACCUCCAGUCUCCAGUUACAUGGACUUUUUCUUUGAAGUCAGUGGUCCUUGUUAAAUGCUACCACUUGUCAAGAGAAAGGGUUUAGAUGAGAAAAACUUGAUUAUAUAAGAUGUUAUGGUGGGGGAAGACUUCUUGCUGUUGCUGUUACAGACAUUGUUUGUGUGUUUUCAUGUGCUAGAACUGGACCUCUGCAGUUUUCACAUGAAAUCACCCCAUCCUUUCAAUUGCCUAGGACCUACAGUCGUAGAAAAUUGAAUCAAGAGGAGACUUCCUUUAAUGCCCCAUGCACACUAUACUAUGCCUAAAGCAGAUGCUAACACUGGAGCUCUUAGAGUUCUCCUUGGUCAAACUUGGUACGUCUGAAAUGGAAUUCCUGAGUCUUCCCACUCCACAAUAACUUCCUCAACUUUCCCCAUUUAUUUUUUUUAAUCAUUAUUUUUAUUUUUUCAUUACUCAGAUGAAUUUAUCACAUCUGUAGUUGUAUAAUGAUCAUAACAAUCCAGUUUCACAGGAUUUCCAUCCCACAGCCCAAACACAUCCCCCCACCCCCCCUUCCCUAUUUCUUUAAAUGGUGCUUGUGUCUACAUAGCUGCUCCAGCCAGAUUCCUGGUAGUCGUCCUGAUUCUUCCCUUAUUUAUUAUUUUCCCUUUUCUGUUCUUUAGCACAUUUUUUAUCAAAUGUUGCCACUUAAGUCCACGUCUGCCACAAGCAUAGUCAAACCAUAGUCAUGUCCCACCAGGACUACUGCAGUGGCAUUCUGGCUUCUCAUCUUCCUUUUUUUUUCUUUGUUUUCCUUCAAUUUAAUUUACAUUCAGUAAGCUGAGAUGAUAUUGUUAAUCAUAUAGGUUGUCACUCCGUAACUUAGAACCUAUUGGCAACUUCCCAGUGUAUUUAAAAUGCCAGUCCAUAACUUAGAACCUAUUGGCAACUUCCCAGUGUAUUUAAAAUGCCAGUCCUGGGAGUUCCCGCUCUGGUGCGGUGGGUUAAGGAUCUGGUGUUGCUGCAGCUGUCUCAGCUCCAGCUCAGAUUUGAUCCCUGGCCCAGGAACUUCCAUGUGCCAUGAGUGCAGCUGAAAAAGAAAAAAUAAAAUGUCAGUCCUUAGGCCUGGAAAUGUCUGGUCUCUCCCCCACAUUCCGGUGUCAUUUCAGAUCCCUUUCCCCCUCACCUUUUCCUAACCACACGCCCUCCUUUCAGAUCCUGUUAACUAAAGACUUUCCCUGCCUCACGGCCUUCUAGCUGAAAGGACCUUUCUCUUGACUAUUUUAGGGCUAUUCCCCCCCCCCCCCCCCUUUUUUUGGCCAUCCUGUGGCAUAUGGAGUUCCCGGGCCAGGGAUCAGAUCUAAGCUGCAGCUGUAGCAAUACUGGAUCCUUAACCCACUGUGCUGGGCCGGGGAUCAAACCUGUGUCCCAGUGGUCCCAAGAUGCUGCUAAUCCUGUUGCGCCAUAGCGGGAACUCCAGGGCUGAUUUACUCUUCAGGUCCUCGCUUCAGGAUCAAGCUUCAGAGGAAGGUCCCUGACAACCUCUAAGAGAUGCUUCCCCACCCCCACCCCCAUUCUUCCCUACCAUUGUGCCCAGUUUGUGUAUUUUGUGGUACUUAGUUUCUUUGCUUACUCAUGCGUUGAAUAUUUUCCUCAUAAAUUGUAAGUAAGGGGGCUGCCCCAGUGCCUGGCAACAGUGUCUGACUUGUAAUGGGCAUUUAAUAAUGUGUAUUUAUAUAUAAGCUAUUUGAAUGUUGUGCUUCUCUUAGGAACAUACUAUCCUCUACCCUUGUCCCCAUCAUUCACUGCCUUAGCACUUAUCAGUUGCUCAAGAAACUGAGUGCCAGCACAGGACCAGGCCCUGGGUAGGACCAGAGGAUUCCCAGAUGGCCCAUUAGGGUUAGAGUUGUGCUCUACUCUAUAUGUCAGCCGUCAAGAAAGGCAGACGUUUAAAAAAAAAGGAGUUCCCAUUGUGGCUUAGUGGUAAUGAACCCGACUAGUAUCCAUGAGGAUGCGGGUUUGAGUCCUGGCUUCACUCUGGGUUAAGGAUCCAGCGUUCCUAUGAGCUUGUGGUGUAGGUCACAGAUGCAGCUCAGAUCCCAAGUUGCUAUGGCUGUGGCCAUGGCUUUUUUGCCCCCUAGCCUGCGAACUUCCAUGUGCCAUAGCUGUGGCCCUAAAAAG